CACAGCACUAAACCUGACAAAGUUCAGGAAGUGUUUGGGCAACGCUCUCAGGUGCAUGGUGUGAUUCUUGAGGUGUCCUGUGCAGGGCCAGGAGUUAGACUUGAAGAUCCUGGUGGGUCCCUUCCAACUUAGCGUAUACUGCGGUUCUGUGAAUCUAUGCAUAUUUGGAACAAAUCCUUUUGUCAAGAGGUGGGUGGAUGCUGGAAGCUCUGCCUGUGCAGGGACUUGGCUUUCUCCUUGUCUUUCAGUACCAAAAUGAUCUCAAGUGGUUGAAUUCUUCUAGGCCUAGGGAUGGUUUUGGGGGGUUUUUGUUGUUAUUGCUAUUAAGUUUGGUGUUGCAUACCAUUUGGUAGGGGCAGGAGUUGACUGGACCUUUGAAGGAACAAGAUGUAUCUGGGAUGUUUUUCCUUUGUCUAUGGCGUCUGAAACAUGAUCAGUGGUCUUUCAUGCAGCUCUCACAUCGACAGAGUUGCCCUUACCUGUUUUGAAGAGAAACUAUACAAAGCUUCAGUGGCACUUAGAUAGCAAAGACACAAAAUAGGUUUUUGGCAAGGGGUAUAUCUUGGUAGAACUACCUCUUUUGAGAUAUACGUACCUGAAAGGCGCCAGAGUGCCAAGCAAAGAAUUAGAUUUCAACACUUGCUUUCUCCAUUGCCAAAUUUGGACCUCUUCCCAUGCAUACAGAUUUUAAAAAAAACCAAAACAACCAAACCAAAAAAGUUCAAUCACUUAGAAUCAUUUAGUAAAGAAUAAUGGGUGGGGGCCACAACUGGUGUGAAGGGUGAGACAGAACCAAUGUAUGUCUUUGUGCCAGCUGUUAAAGAUUGCUGUAAAAAGACUCAUCAUCAGAGAAUGUCCUGGAAAGUGGAAUUUGCAACAAUGAAUUGCAAAUUUCCAUCACAAGGUAAAGAUAUUUCCCCAAAAUAAUUUGUAAACUGGGAUUGAUGUUCGAGUAAAACACAAUUUUAAUUUGGCCAUGUUGAAACAACAGGUCAAUCCCUCAAAGAAAUCAAAAAAGAUAUUGCAUAUCUUCAGUCCAAGAUGUUUAACCUGUCACUGGACAACUCAGAAUGUUAGUGGGAUUUGUUUUUGAAGUGAUCGUACAUCUUGAACUGAGUCAAGCCCUUCGCUUUCUGUUGGAGGAUGAUCUCUUUUUCUUCUCUUUUUCUCCCAGUUCACUUAUUUUGUUUCUCUUUUUGAGCUACUUGCCUUAUCACAAAUAGCACAAAUUGGUUCUCUGGUUCUUGUAUUUGGUGAUUAUUUUUUGUAGCCUAUUUCUCAGUCUAGUUCAAGACCCAGUUUAGUUUACUGCAGCCUCAGAAAUGUUAGCUGAAAUGCUGAUUAACUGGAAGAGACAAGGUACUGCUCAAAAGUGGUGUGGGUGCAGAGAGGAUUAGCUGGUGGUGUUAGAACAAUUUUACAGUCUAAGACACGUUAUGAUGACGGUGUUUAGUACCCACUUAUUCAAAGUACUGUCCAGAGGUCAGGGGUAUGUCUGCCUCCCAACCAUCAUCCUCCUUCCUCCAGAGGUAUUUAAAUAAGAAAAGCAAAGAGGGCAUGAAGAAUUUCCCUAGUAGAAGUCAGACAGCAAAAAUGAGCAGUCCUGUCAGUCAAAGACCACAAUUAUUGCACAAUGCUUGUGCAGAGCUACCAGAAACACCUCUUCCAGAGAAGACGUAGAGUGAAGACUAUCAUCCACUUUGCCUUCCAAACUGCCCCUCAGGUCUGUUUAGCAUUUGAAAGAACUAUUGUAGACUUCUGGGGUAAGAUGAUUGAGAGGAAGAUGGUACUGUGGUUUUUAUCUUUGUGCUUUGCACCAUACCUCUGAGGUAGGUCAUGGCUUCUUCAGCUCCAUUUCUGUAGCAUCAGAGUUGGUCCACCUCUUCAGCUCUUCCAGCAGAGCCAAUUUAUAGAGUCCCCACAAAUGUCAGAAUUUUUAGCACUGAAGGCUGGUAUUCCUGUUGUGGAAGUACAGGUCUGUGAUUUGAGCAGUUGAUUUUAUCUGUGUUUAAAGAAAGCAACAAAAAUUUAAUACGCUGUUAAAAAUAGAUUAGGGUUUUGUUUAGUCCUUCAUACAAGUACAAAACAGACACUGAAAUGUGUUAUAGCAAUCAAAAGUUAAUUACAUUUCUGAAAAACCCCAGAUUUAGUGUGAAAGCUGUGUCAGAUACAAUUACUGUUUUUUAUUGUGAGAAGCAGAAAUUUGGCUCUAUUAGAGGAAAAAAAAGUAGCCAGAUUAAAGACAUACAAUCUGCUUGCUUACUGCAAUUGCCUAAAGGAAGUAAGAACACUAUUAGUCAGUUUCUUGUUGGGUGCUGGGCAUGUUCAUUUGCCUGUGACGUUUAGCUACUCUAUUUUUUCCUGCUUGGGUGUCUCCUGAACCAGAUCUUUGUCUGUAUGAUUGACAGGCAUUAAUGUUAAAAGGACUGCUGUAUCAUGCUCCAGUGGAAUCAACAGGGCAGUGGGAGUGGCCUACCUGCCGCAUGUACCAGGGGGACUCACCGUAACACGGUGGACUGGUUAAAAGCAAUAUGUUUAUUUUUUUUUCACGGGAUUGAGCUAAUCCCAUAUGCCCACGUGCUCUUUCUUGUGCAGAGCCAACUCUGAGUUUCAAUACCACAGUCUUAAUUCUGGAAUUCAGAGGCAGGCUGUACAGAGUCAUGAAGCUGACUCCAUGAGGAGUCCCUCAAAGGUCAGCAGUUUUCUGCUUUACCAUUAGGAAUGGUAUUGCCAGAUCCAGGUUGAUCCCUGCAGGUGUAUCCAAAUAUACUUGCUUCCCUGGUCUCCCGAGUUUGGGAUCUGGGUUCCACAGAGCAGGAGCACAUGAAAACAACUUGGGUGUAGGACAGUACUGACUCAGUGUUGAGAGAAGAAGCACCGAGCACCAAGCUAAAAAAGGAUAACCUUAUGGUCAGAGGGCCUGGAGCAAACGGGGCAGGAGUAACAGAGCUCAGUGACAGUCAGCAGCUGUACAGGCUGUUUGCCAUCCCUGAGCAAGCUCGGUAGGGCCACCCUUGACCAAAGUCAGCUUCAGCUUGUGCUCUAUGUGGAGCUGCUGACCAUCCAUGAGUUCAGAGCCUGGUGCUGCUCUGGCAGGUGGGGGUCUGGUUUGCUUCAAGCCCCUGAGCUAACCCAUGCCUGGCUGAUGUAGAUGGGUAUUGCAAACUGGGUUCCUCCUGAUGGAGCAGGUAUUUAGAAUAGGAACAAUGGAGCACAGCUUCUACAUUCUUUAUUUUCCUACCAUCAGGGUUGGUCUGCUGCAUCCAAGGUGGAUACUCCUCUACCCCGCCAUGUAAAAGAAUUAAAGUCUGUUUUCCUCCCCAAGUACUGCUGCAUCACUGCUCUCUUCACCUUAUAAACACUUUUGCAAUAGCAAUUAGUACUACAGAAUGUGGAUGUAUUACUUAAUCCCAUUUUUUUUCAUCUUCAGUGAGAAAUUUUGAUGAUAAUAUGACGAGGAUGUUGCUAUAGACAAAAAUGCAUCAAUAUAUUCUAGGAGCUGAAACUUGAGCUUCCAUGUUUUCAAUAGAUGCCAUGUGUAACAUCAGAGUAUUGGCAUAAAGCCUCAUGUUAUUAAAAAUGGACGUGAAAUGAGAUGUGGCUUUUUCUGUUCCUUUCACAAACAGUGAGAUAAAUGAGAGUCAUUUAUUAUUCUCUCUGUACCUGGAGGACUCCUUGCCUCCAGUUACUGUUGAGUAUGCAGGCAUAAUAAGGCUGCAUGUCAUUUUUUUGCAUUUAUAUGGAUGACUUUCAAAGUAAAACUCACCACAUCUUCAGGCCAAAAGCUUUCUCCUUGAGUCACAGCUCCUAUCAUUUUUUCCCCUCAGGCAUACUGAUCCUUAGCUAGUCAGGGAAGCAUGCACACAAAUGAUAGGUCAUUAGGAAAUUCUCUGAAUGGCAAAUCUCUGAAGUCAUCCCAAGUGCUAUUUGCCAUGCAUCAUGAUAAAACUUGUGAGUUUGCGG
Corvus hawaiiensis (hawaiian crow) is the source of this 3963-nucleotide long non-coding RNA. RefSeq lists it as uncharacterized. NCBI's taxonomy places the organism in Eukaryota, Metazoa, Chordata, Aves, Passeriformes, Corvidae. The transcript has 4 exons. The record is from RefSeq and is a predicted model, not a curated record.